GUCAAAGAUUUAUCGCUGGAAGAUGGCCUCGCGUCUGAUUAGCUAGUUGGUGAGGUAACGGCCCACCAAGGCGACGAUCAGUAGCCGGACUGAGAGGUUGGCCGGCCACAUUGGGACUGAGAUACGGCCCAGACUCCUACGGAAGGCAGCAG
Molecule: ribosomal RNA, 152 nt
Filed under: uncultured bacterium
Lineage: Bacteria
Description: partial 16S ribosomal RNA
Rfam family: Bacterial small subunit ribosomal RNA
Source: RNAcentral